RNAcentral lists this ribosomal RNA (460 nucleotides) under uncultured bacterium. RNAcentral describes it as "partial 16S ribosomal RNA". It matches the Rfam family "Bacterial small subunit ribosomal RNA", at positions 338 to 795 of the family's 1533-position model. The record is from RNAcentral.
CCUACGUGAGGCAGCAGUGAGGAAUAUUGGUCAAUGGACGGAAGUCUGAACCAGCCAUGCCGCGUGCAGGAAGACGGCUCUAUGAGUUGUAAACUUCUUUUAUAAAGGAAUAAAACGAGGCACGUGUGCCUUUUUGCAUGUACUUUAUGAAUAAGGAUCGGCUAACUCCGUGCCAGCAGCCGCGGUAAUACGGAGGAUCCGAGCGUUAUCCGGAUUUAUUGGGUUUAAAGGGAGCGUAGAUGGGUUGUUAAGUCAGUUGUGAAAGUUUGCGGCUCAACCGUAAAAUUGCAAUUGAUACUGGCAGUCUUGAGUACAGUUGAGGUAGGCGGAAUUCGUGGUGUAGCGGUGAAAUGCUUAGAUAUCACGAAGAACCCCGAUUGCGAAGGCAGCUUACUAAACUGUGACUGACAUUGAUGCUCGAAAGUGUGGGUAUCAAACAGGAUUAGAUACCCCUGUAGUC